Molecule: ribosomal RNA, 495 nt
Filed under: uncultured bacterium
Lineage: Bacteria
Description: partial 16S ribosomal RNA
Rfam family: Bacterial small subunit ribosomal RNA
Source: RNAcentral
GACGAACGCUGGCGGCGUGCCUAAUACAUGCAAGUUGAGCGCUGAAGGUUGGUACUUGUACCAACUGGAUGAGCAGCGAACGGGUGAGUAACGCGUGGGGAAUCUGCCUUUGAGCGGGGGACAACAUUUGGAAACGAAUGCUAAUACCGCAUAAAAACUUUAAACACAAGUCUUAAGUUUGAAAGAUGCAAUUGCAUCACUCAAAGAUGAUCCCGCGUUGUAUUAGCUAGUUGGUGAGGUAAAGGCUCACCAAGGCGAUGAUACAUAGCCGACCUGAGAGGGGGAUCGGCACAAUUGGAACGGAGACACGGCCCAACCCCAUACGGGGGGCGCCGUGAGGAAUUGUUGGGCAAGGGCCGAAAGUCUAACCAAGCAACGCCGGGGGAGGAAAGAAGGUUUUCGGAUAGUAAAACUCUGUUGGGAGAAAAAAACGUUGGUGAGAGUGGAAAGCUCAUCAAGUGACGGUAACUACCCAAAAAGGGACGGCUAACUGCG